GAACGAACGCUGGCGGCAGGCCUAACACAUGCAAGUCGGACGGUAGCACAGGGGAGCUUGCUCUCCGGGUGACGAGUGGCGGACGGGUGAGUAAUGUCUGGGAAACUGCCCGGUGGAGGGGGAUAACUACUGGAAACGGUAGCUAAUACCGCAUAACGUCUUCGGACCAAAGUGGGGGAUCUUCGGACCUCACGCCACCGGAUGUGCCCAGAUGGGAUUAGCUAGUAGGUGGGGUAACGGCUCACCUAGGCGACGAUCCCUAGCUGGUCUGAGAGGAUGACCAG
RNAcentral lists this ribosomal RNA (284 nucleotides) under uncultured bacterium. RNAcentral's name for it is "partial 16S ribosomal RNA". It matches the Rfam family "Bacterial small subunit ribosomal RNA", at positions 27 to 307 of the family's 1533-position model. The record is from RNAcentral.